Molecule: ribosomal RNA, 309 nt
Filed under: Triticum aestivum (bread wheat)
Lineage: Eukaryota; Viridiplantae; Streptophyta; Magnoliopsida; Poales; Poaceae
Description: partial small subunit ribosomal RNA
Source: RNAcentral
AUGGAGAAGUUCCCCUUCGAUGAUGUUAGCCGCAUUGAUUCCUCAACACUUGAGCCUGAGAUGGAGAGCUUCAUGGUUGAGUAUGGUGAGGUGGAUUCAGAUGUCAAGCAGCCAAGCUCGACUAUUUCACUUGUUGACACGAGUCCGGUGGAAAUUUCUACUACCACACCUCACUUGGUAUCUUCAAUUGAGGUAGUCCCAAAGCUUCUUCCUAACUAUCUCAGGUUUACACUUGUGCACCAUUUACGACGAGUUGACCGAGUUCAAGAUGACAUUCCCUGGGAUCCUGGUGGAUUCACGGCAUGGUGA